RNAcentral lists this ribosomal RNA (717 nucleotides) under uncultured Alphaproteobacteria bacterium. RNAcentral's name for it is "bacterial SSU rRNA". It matches the Rfam family "Bacterial small subunit ribosomal RNA", at positions 8 to 774 of the family's 1533-position model. The record is from RNAcentral. Lineage: Bacteria; Pseudomonadati; Pseudomonadota; Alphaproteobacteria.
AGAGAUCAUGGCUCAGAACGAACGCUGGCGGCAGGCUUAACACAUGCAAGUCGAGCGGGCUCUUUCGGGGGUCAGCGGCGGACGGGUUAGUAACGCGUGGAACGUGCCUUUUGCUCUGGAAUAGCCCUGGGAAACUGGGGGUAAUACCGGAUGUGCCCUGAGGGGGAAAGAUUUAUCGGCAAGAGAUCGGCCCGCGUCUGAUUAGGUAGUUGGUGGGGUAACGGCCCACCAAGCCGACGAUCGGUAGCUGGUUUGAGAGGAUGAUCAGCAACACUGGGACUGAGACACGGCCCAGACUCCUACGGGAGGCAGCAGUGGGGAAUCUUAGACAAUGGGCGCAAGCCUGAUCUAGCCAUGCCGCGUGGGUGAUGAAGGCCUUAGGGUCGUAAAGCCCUUUCGCCGGGGAAGAUAAUGACGGUACCCGGUAAAGAAACCCCGGCUAACUCCGUGCCAGCAGCCGCGGUAAUACGGAGGGGGUUAGCGUUGUUCGGAAUGACUGGGCGUAAAGCGCGCGUAGGCGGAUCAGGAAGUUGGGGGUGAAAUCCCGGGGCUCAACCCCGGAAUGGCCUUCAAAACUCCUGGUCUUGAGUUCGAGAGAGGUGAGUGGAAUUCCGAGUGUAGAGGUGAAAUUCUUAGAUAUUCGGAUGAACACCAGUGGCGAACGCGGCUCACUGGCUCUACACUGACGCUGACGUGCGAUUGCGUGUUGAGCAAACA